AUAUUCUGAGUGCUCUUAAAGAAAAUAUAGCCUAAAAAUGUAUGCUGGACUAUUUUGACAGGAAUAUGGAUAUUAUAGUAGGGAUUCCAUACACUUGAGCAAUAAACAAGGAACAAUAGCGUAUCUCCAAUCAAUCAACUACUCAUAUUCUUACAAUUUCUGGCAACUGGAACCCACCUUUCAUGUAUUGGAGACUUUGGUGGAGUACAUGUUUCGACUGUGUCUCGCAUAAUUGUUCGAGUUGGAAGAUCUCUAGCUAGAUUAUACCCUAGGUUUAUUAAAAUCCCUGAACUUCCUCAUGAAAUCAAUGAAUACCAUCUAAAGUUUUUUGAGAAAGCAAGAUUUCCCAGAGUUAUUGGAGCUAUUGAUUGCACACAUGUUCGAAUUCAGUUUCCUGGAGGAGCUGAUGGAGAAAUAUUUCGAAAUCGAAAAAGUUUGUUUUCAAUUAAUGUUCAAGCUAUAGGAGAUGCAGAUCUUAGAUUAUUAAAUGUGAUUGCCAGAUGGUCAGGAUGAUUACAUGACGCCACAAUCUUUAAUAAUAGCAGGAUUAAACAAGAUUUUGAAGAAAACAAAUUUGCAAAUUCUAUUUUAUUAGGUGAUGGGGGUUAUAAUAUAAGAUCUUAUUUGCUAACCCCGGUACAAGAAUCUGCAACUAGACAGGAACAACUAUAUAAUGAAUCUCACAUCCGAACAAAGAACACUAUUGAAAGGGUCUUUGGAGCUUGGAAACGUAGAUUUCCAGUGCUAGCAUAUGGUUGUCGUUUAAAGUUGGAUACAAUAUUGACAGUCAUAAUUGCCUCAGCAGUAGUUUAUAAUAUUUGCAAAGAACAGAAUGAGGCAGAACCUCCCAACCUAGAAGAUAUCAAAAGAUUUUUGCUGGUAAUGAAGGAGGGUUCUAGAAAUUCCACCCGUAAUCCAAGAUGAUCCUAAUGGUGGAAAUCAAGUCGGGAGAAGCUUGAUUGAAAACUAUUUUAGAUAUAUUGAAAAAUAAAGUUUAUAAAGUUGUUAUACUAUUUUCCAAAAUAAA
Anthonomus grandis grandis is the source of this 1027-nucleotide long non-coding RNA. RefSeq lists it as uncharacterized. Lineage: Eukaryota; Metazoa; Arthropoda; Insecta; Coleoptera; Curculionidae. The record is from RefSeq and is a predicted model, not a curated record. The transcript has 4 exons.